Molecule: long non-coding RNA, 996 nt
Organism: Mastomys coucha (southern multimammate mouse)
Lineage: Eukaryota; Metazoa; Chordata; Mammalia; Rodentia; Muridae
Exons: 3
Source: RefSeq, a predicted model, not a curated record
CAUUCUAGACUUUUCAGUGCCCAAGGAGACAGGGAAGAUCAAGAUGAAGCAGGUGACAUGGAUGAGGAAGAUGAAGAUGAUGACAAAGACGUUACUAGCACAGUGCCUGGCCCAAAGUGGAUGGAUGCUCAUACAAAGUUAGCUUUCCAACCUUGUUUGAGCUAUGAUGGAGGUGGCCAGGACACCGUGAUACAAGGUGUCCAGUGGUCAGCAGCAGUGGCAGCAGCAUGGAGGGAUGAGAGGCACCUGUGUCAAAUCUCUUCUUCUUCAUUGGCCUUGCUCCAACGGUGACAGCAGUUGGCCGUGAUGCCCAGGAGGAAGUUGGUGGCUACAGAAGCGAUGGAGACCACGAAGCCCACAAAUGCGAUGAAGAGAUAUACAGACUACAAUGUCAAGAGUGUAGUCUCUGGAGCUACCAUAUCACUUGACCAUGAAUCUCUCCUACAUCUCAUCAGUUGUGUGAUUAUGGAUAUUUAGUCUCUCUGUAUUUUGCUUCUUCUUUCUUGUUUUAAUCUAUCAAGUGACAAUAAUCAUAUCUGCCUUCUGGAACUGUGACCAGGAUUCAGAGAGUUAAAGCACACCAUCGUUUCUGAUGCAUGAUAAGCAUUAUGUGACAUGCGUGCCUUUUAUAAUGAUCAUAGUUGGGUCUCUCAAGUGUCAGCUGGAGGUUCAUAUCCUGUACACAGACUUCUGAGGAAAGAAACUGCUCAUUUGGUGGCAGCGUUGUGGAACUGUACUUUAGGAUUACUUCAGUAAAUGCAUGAUGGUUAUCAGUGGUCUAAUCUUAAUUUGUCUUGGAAGUAAAGUAUGGCAUUUGGGGGCAGUUCCACCGAGAAAUCUGGGCAGUAGCUUCAGAGUAAUGCCAUAUACCCUUGGUAAGGAUGAAAAUAUGAACUGAGCUCUAACCUUCAGCAAAUCCUGUUUAUUUUUUUUCCUUUCUGUCUCUCACGUGUCACCUUUAUAAAAAGAGAAUAAUCCAAUCUAAAUUUUCCAAGC